UAAAUAAUUGCAGAAAAUAUUCCUUUAUAGGAACUGCGGUUGGGAUUUUCGUGUAGGGUAUCUUUAUUAAAACUGACGUUAGAGAUUUAAUUAUAUUGGUUUAGUUGUGGGCUGCAUUUAUGCUGCUGAAUAUUUAUUCUGGAUUUAAAAGCCGCAUUUCUGCCGCUUCGAUCUCAAGUAUGUUUUUGGUUGCCAAGCGUCGUUUUAUAAGCGUACAAAGGUGCCCGGCUCACCUUACGGGUUUUGUGUUCCUCGCAUGUCCCCGAAGUCUACCCAUGGGGGCGCUGUUUCCUCGCUUCCGCAAGGCCGAGUUCUGCGUUUACCACGUGACGACCAUCCGUCUUUUUUAACGGUAGACUAAGAAUAAUAUAGUUCAGGGAUUCUUUGAUAUUGUCACGGAUCUGAGGACUUAGACGUGUGUUUAAUCUAAAUGAAUCGUACUUUCUUCCAAACGUGUUAAAGUACAUACUGAAGCUGUGGUUAUCUAAAGCUUACCCCCCCGAAAUAUUUAGGUGCCUCCUGCACUGUCCAUUACGCAAAAUCACCGUACUUAUAAAUUUCUUAAACUAUGUUUCCUUUCACAUUUAAAAUUUAAAUGUAUAUUCCCCAUUCGACAUAUGUAAUUCAGUUUUUUUAAUCAUAAUAUGUUGUAAAACAUACAUCUAUGAAAAUAUAUUGUAGUGCAGGAACAGUAAUUUUAUAUCCCUAGCCAUAACUAGUUAAAAGGUAGUAAUAUUCUUAUUCAAAAUCGAUAAUAAUCAUAGUAAAACUGUUGGACAGAAUAUUUGUUCAGCAGGGUUGCCAACUUUGGUCAUCUGGCUGGCGUGAGAUUUUCAAUUCGAGACGAGUCUGCAUGUACACGCAUACGCAUUUACAUUUAUGUAAUACUUUCCUUACCUUGCAAAUAGUCUGUAGGGUUUGUAAACUACUCCAUCGUUUUGAUGUAGCUAAUUUGAGGUUCAUAAUGGAAUAAUAUAGAUUCGCCCGUAAGAUUUCUUGCGUGAGUGUGACAGUCUGAAAGCGUGAGUGUCACGCCAGAUGCGGUUGGCAACACUGGUACAGCUUGAGGUUUCCAGAUAAAAAUUCUGGUUCUAGUGAAAAGAACCAAUUGUAUCAUUUGCCCCAGAAACUAGAGUGUCAAACAAAUGAUCUAUUUCCAUACAUUCUCAGCCUUUUUAUCUGUUUGCUUGGCAAACAUAUAAUCCAAAGAAAAAUACAAUGCCUAUAUUUUUCACUAUUAAAAAUGGAUUAUUAGUAUGAAAAAGAAAUUACUCUGUAUAUACCUGGAUGGUGUAACAGAUGUUUCGUGUCAGGAUCUGAAGUCAUAACCUUCCCACCACACAUCCAGUUCCUUAAUCACUAGACCAUCUGCCACCCACUUUUUUCAGGUACAGCGUAAGCAGGUUUGUCCCCGAUAAGCAGUUUUAAUUUAGGUGAUGGAAAAAGGACUUUGGGAAGAAUGAAGCUUGGAUCUCGGCCGCCUCUAACCAAGCCCUUACGUUUUACAGCUAUUAUUUAAGAGAAAGGUUUGGACAAGGCAUAUUUUUGUGAUCAUAACAUAUUUUUAUCCUGGCCACCUCCUAAGUGAAACAUCUCUGCACCUCAAUGAAGAUAACGACCACAUUAAUUAUGACACUUUGGGAGGAAAGCCUUUUCGGGCCGCGAUAUUCCUGAAUUGCGUUUGUGUGGAAGCAGGUGAGACCGUUUUUUUUUUGUUUUUUUUAACUGAGAAUCUCACAUCUGCCUGGCGUUUGGAGAGAUACCGCCGGAAGCAUGGCAAAUAAAAUGUGCGCUCGGCGAACGCCGCGGCGCAGCCUGGACCGCCACAGCUGCUUCCCACCGCCGCCUGUCCCACAAUCAAUCCACUCGUCUGUUUGCUGUCUUCUCUCCAAACACACGGCGGUUUGUGUGCGCUCCCGUUCAGCGGGGGCCAAUUUCGGCACAUUUUAUCUUAGCUAACAGGCACCUAUCAAAAGUAUGAUCUUCUGUUGCCCUUGCUAAUUAGGCAGCAGAUGAGAAGGAGGAUGGCGAUGAGAGCCUUCAGUGGGCAACAUCAGGUGAUGGCCUCCUCACCACACACCACACCACUGCUGGUUCGUCCCCCAGGAACGGCCCUACGAGCGGGUGUUUAGCUACAAGCACAAAGUGCCACCCUAAGACCCUGAACACAGCCUGCGUCCACACAGUAAAUAUGAAGCGAGGAGGAGAGGAAUCCCCUUGGAGCUAGUCUACGAGAUGAUCUGGGAACUGCUGUUUGGAAGAAACUAUUGUCUGUAUUUUCAAUUGAAUUCAGAGGUUCUGUCUUCAGGCUUUGAGAUGAACCAGAAACAGUUCAGUUAUUAAUUAGCUAUAAAAGGAUCCCUCCAUGUUAUAAACCCUAAUCCUGGCCAAGGUCACCUGGAGUCUCCCCCAGGCAGUGCGGGGCACCAGGCUGGGGUUCACCCUGGGUGGGGUGCCAGUCCAUCAUGGGGCAAAUACAUGGACAUUCUUAAAGAUGGACAAAAAUACAUCAAAAUGUAUUUUAAUAUAAAAUACCCUGUUUGUAAUAUACUACAGAAUACAACCACCAAGCAAAGUAUCAAAAUAGACUCCAGUAUUUCAUAUUUUAAAAAUACAAAAAUAAAUCUUGCGCACUUCUAUAGGAUAUCGGCCUGCUCCUUCACAAAUGGCCAUGCAUAUAAACAGCACUUUUCUAUUACUUAACGUAAUAAAAUACAAAUAUGAAACCAAAC
This is a long non-coding RNA of Brienomyrus brachyistius, 2732 nucleotides long. RefSeq lists it as uncharacterized. The transcript is spliced from 3 exons. NCBI's taxonomy places the organism in Eukaryota, Metazoa, Chordata, Actinopteri, Osteoglossiformes, Mormyridae. The record is from RefSeq and is a predicted model, not a curated record.